RNAcentral lists this transfer RNA (68 nucleotides) under Prionobrama filigera (glass bloodfin tetra). RNAcentral describes it as "tRNA-His". It matches the Rfam family "tRNA". Rfam says of the family: Transfer RNA (tRNA) molecules are approximately 80 nucleotides in length. Their secondary structure includes four short double-helical elements and three loops (D, anti-codon, and T loops). Lineage: Eukaryota; Metazoa; Chordata; Actinopteri; Characiformes; Characidae. The record is from RNAcentral.
GUAGAUAUAGUUUAAAAAAACGUUAGAUUGUGAUUCUAUAAAUAGAGGUUAAAACCCUCUUAUCUACC